RNAcentral lists this ribosomal RNA (253 nucleotides) under uncultured bacterium. RNAcentral's name for it is "partial 16S ribosomal RNA". It matches the Rfam family "Bacterial small subunit ribosomal RNA", at positions 524 to 776 of the family's 1533-position model. The record is from RNAcentral.
UACGAAGGGGGCUAGCGUUGCUCGGAAUCACUGGGCGUAAAGCGCACGUAGGCGGAUUGCUAAGUCAGGGGUGAAAUCCUGGAGCUCAACUCCAGAACUGCCUUUGAUACUGGCGGUCUCGAGUCCGGGAGAGGUGAGUGGAACUGCGAGUGUAGAGGUGAAAUUCGUAGAUAUUCGCAAGAACACCAGUGGCGAAGGCGGCUCACUGGCCCGGUACUGACGCUGAGGUGCGAAGGCCAGGGGAGCAAACGGG